GAGGGUAUAGCUCAUGGCAGAGUGCAUGCCUAGCAUACAUGAGGUACUGGCUUCAAUCCCCAGUACCAUUA
This 71-nucleotide transfer RNA is filed under the name Camelus bactrianus (Bactrian camel). It matches the Rfam family "tRNA". From Rfam's summary of the family: Transfer RNA (tRNA) molecules are approximately 80 nucleotides in length. Their secondary structure includes four short double-helical elements and three loops (D, anti-codon, and T loops). The record is from Rfam by way of RNAcentral. Lineage: Eukaryota; Metazoa; Chordata; Mammalia; Artiodactyla; Camelidae. RNAcentral also lists the same sequence under 3 other names.